UAAAGUUCCAACAGCAUGUUGUUUAGCGAUCGUAAAACUAUUUGACUUCUGAUUGCAUCUGCUGCAUCAGGUACCAGACUCCUCUACUGUGCUGCUUCAGGUACCAGACUCCUCUACUGGGCUGCUUCAGGUACCAGACUCCUCUACUGUGCUGCAUCAGGUACCAGACUCCUCUACUGUGCUGCAUCAGGUACCAGACUCCUCUACUGGGCUGCUUCAGGUACCAGACUCCUCUACUGGGCUGCAUCAGGUACCAGACUCCUCUACUGUGCUGCAUCAGGUACCAGACUCCUCUACUGUGCUGCAUCAGGUACCAGACUCCUCUACUGUGCUGCAUCAGGUACCAGACUCCUCUACUGUGCUGCAUCAGGUACCAGACUCCUCUACUGUGCUGCUUCAGGUACCAGACUCCUCUACUGUGCUGCAUCAGGUACCAGACUCCUCUACUGGGCUGCUUCAGGUACCAGACUCCUCUACUGUGCUGCAUCAGGUACCAGACUCCUCUACUGUGCUGCUUCAGGUACCAGACUCCUCUACUGGGCUGCAUCAGGUACCAGACUCCUCUACUGUGCUGCUUCAGGUACCAGACUCCUCUACUGGGCUGCAUCAGGUACCAGACUCCUCUACUGGGCUGCUUCAGGUACCAGACUCCUCUACUGGGCUGCAUCAGGUACCAGACUCCUCUACUUUGCUGCAUCAGGUACCAGACUCCUCUACUGGGCUGCUUCAGGUACCAGACUCCUCUACUGUGCUGCAUCAGGUACCAGACUCCUCUACUGUGCUGCUUCAGGUACCAGACUCCUCUACUGUGCUGCUUCAGGUACCAGACUCCUCUACGUUGCUGCUUCAGGUACCAGACUCCUCUAUGUUGCUACUUCAGGUACCAGACUCCUCUACUGUGCUGCAUCAGGUACCAGACUCCUCUACUGUGCUGCUUCUGGUACCAGACUCCUCUACUGUGCUGCAUCAGGUACCAGACUCCUCUACUGGGCUGCUUCAGGUACCAGACUCCUCUACUGUGCUGCAUCAGGUACCAGACUCCUCUACUGUGCUGCUUCAGGUACCAGACUCCUCUACUGUGCUGCUUCAGGUACCAGACUCCUCUACUGUGCUGCUUCAGGUACCAGACUCCUCUAUGUUGCUACUUCAGGUACCAGACUCCUGUACUUUGCUGCUUCAGGUACCAGACUCCUCUACUGGGCUGCUUCAGGUACCAAACUCUUCUACUGUGCUGCUUCAGGUACCAGACUCCUCUACUUUGCUGCUUCAGGUACCAGACUCCUCUACUGUGCUGCUUCAGGUACCAGACUCCUCUACGUUGCUGCUUCAGGUACCAGACUCCUCUAUGUUGCUACUUCAGGUACCAGACUCCUGUACUUUGCUGCUUCAGGUACCAGACUCCUCUACUGGGCUGCUUCAGGUACCAGACUCCUCUACUGUGCUGCUUCAGGUACCAAACUCUUCUACUGUGCUGCUUCAGGUACCAGACUCCUCUACUUUGCUGCUUCAGGUACCAGACUCCUCUACUGUGCUGCUUCAGGUACCAGACUCCUCUACUGUGCUGCUUCAGGUACCAGACUCCUCUACGUUGCUGCUUCAGGUACCAGACUCCUCUACUUUGCUGAUUCAGGCACCUGAUUCCUCUCCGUUGAAGUAUCUGGGCUGACUAAAUCCACCUGCUGUCUACUACCUACUGUCAACUGGAGGACAACACCUCUAUUAAAUAGUGAUUAGAAACCAACAGAAAAUAUUUCACUAUCUGACACGAAGGAGUCGCGUGACAACAGAAUAAUCCCUGUGAGGUCCUGAAGGCCAUGUCUACAGUCUCUGUGUCGUCUCUGUACUCACCCACAGCAGAAUGGAAAGCCUGACUGCCUCCGCAAAGGAACGCCAUGUCAGAGUCAGACUGUCCCUAGAGUCCGGCAGGAUGAAACGACACAAAC
RNAcentral lists this long non-coding RNA (1943 nucleotides) under Oncorhynchus kisutch (coho salmon). RNAcentral describes it as "lncRNA (ENSOKIG00005036093.1)". Lineage: Eukaryota; Metazoa; Chordata; Actinopteri; Salmoniformes; Salmonidae. The record is from RNAcentral.